This 499-nucleotide ribosomal RNA is filed under the name uncultured bacterium. RNAcentral describes it as "partial 16S ribosomal RNA". It matches the Rfam family "Bacterial small subunit ribosomal RNA", at positions 29 to 507 of the family's 1533-position model. The record is from RNAcentral.
ACGAACGCUGGCGGCGUGCCUAAUACAUGCAAGUCGAGCGGACUGAUUAAGAGCUUGCUCUUAUGACGUUAGCGGCGGACGGGUGAGUAACACGUGGGCAACCUGCCCUGUAGAUCGGGAUAACACCGAGAAAUCGGUGCUAAUACCGGGUAAUAUCUGAGAUCACAUGAUCUUAGGUUAAAAGAUGGCUCCGGCUAUCACUACAGGAUGGGCCCGCGGCGCAUUAGCUAGUUGGUAAGGUAAUGGCUUACCAAGGCGACGAUGCGUAGCCGACCUGAGAGGGUGAUCCGCCACACUAGGACUGAGACACGGCCCAGACUCCUACGGGAGGCAGCAGUAGGGAAUCUUCCGCAAUGGACGAAAGUCUGACGGAGCAACGCCGCGUGAGUGAUGAAGGGUUUCGGCUCGUAAAGCUCUGUUGUUAGGGAAGAAACAGUACCGAACGAACUAGGUCGGUACCUUGACGGUACCUAACCAGAAAGCCACGGCUAACUACGUG